GGAUUAAAGGUGGCCUUUGCGCUGCCGCAGAUGGAUGAGCCUGCGUUGGAUUAGCUAGUUGGUGGGGUAAGGGCCUACCAAGGCUACGAUCCAUAGCUGAUUUGAGAGGAUGAUCAGCCACAUUGGGACUGAGACACGGCCCAAACUCCUACGGGAGGCAGCAGUGGGGAAUAUUGGACAAUGGGGGAAACCCUGAUCCAGCAAUGCCAUGUGUGUGAAGAAGGCUCUAGGGUUGUAAAGCACUUUAGUUGGGGAGGAAAGCCUGUGAGUUAAUAGCUUGCAGGAAGGACGUUGCCCAAAGAAUAAGGACCGGCUAACUCCGUGCCAGCAGCCGCGGUAAUACGGGGGGUCCGAGCGUUAAUCGGAAUUACUGGGCGUAAAGGGUCUGUAGGUGGUUUGUUAAGUCAGAUGUGAAAGCCCAGGGCUCAACCUUGGAACUGCAUUUGAUACUGACAAACUAGAGUAUGGUAGAGGAAUAGGGAACUUCUGGUGUAGCGGUGAAAUGCGUAGAGAUCAGAAGGAACACCAAUGGCGAAGGCAACAUUCUGGACCAAUACUGACACUGAGGGACGAAAGCGUGGGGAUCAAACAGGAUUAGAUACCCUGGUAGUCCACGCUGUAAACGAUGAGUACUAGCUGUUGGAUUCGGUGUAAAGGAUCUAGUGGCGCAGCUAACGCGUUAAGUACUCCGCCUGGGGACUACGGCCGCAAGGCUAAAACUCAAAGGAAUUGACGGGGACCCGCACAAGCGGUGGAGCAUGUGGUUUAAUUCGAUGCAACGCGAAGAACCUUACCUGGUCUUGACAUCCUGCGAACUUUCUAGAGAUAGAUUGGUGCCUUCGGGAACGCAGUGACAGGUGCUGCACGGCUGUCGUCAGCUCGUGUUGUGAAAUGUUGGGUUAAGUCCCGCAACGAGCGCAACCCCUAUUGAUAGUUACCAUCAUUAAGUUGGGUACUCUAUUGAGACUGCCGCUGACAAGGCGGAGGAAGGUGGGGACGACGUCAAGUCAUCAUGGCCCUUACGACCAGGGCUACACACGUGCUACAAUGGGUAUUACAGAGG
This 1063-nucleotide ribosomal RNA is filed under the name Francisella orientalis. Its description in RNAcentral is "bacterial SSU rRNA". It matches the Rfam family "Bacterial small subunit ribosomal RNA", at positions 198 to 1245 of the family's 1533-position model. The record is from RNAcentral. Lineage: Bacteria; Pseudomonadati; Pseudomonadota; Gammaproteobacteria; Thiotrichales; Francisellaceae.